AAAUAAGUAAGCUAAAUAAAGCUUUUAGGUUCAUACCCUAACUAUAGACUUAAUAAUUAAUCUCUUAUUUA
Molecule: transfer RNA, 71 nt
Filed under: Ochetellus glaber
Lineage: Eukaryota; Metazoa; Arthropoda; Insecta; Hymenoptera; Formicidae
Description: tRNA-Met
Source: RNAcentral